UGGCUUAGAAGCAGCCAUCCUUUAAAGAGUGCGUAACAGCUCACUGGUCGAGGAUCUCUGCGCCGACAAUGUAGGGGGCUAAGCAUUGCACCGAAGCUGCGGGAUUUGCACGUAAGUGGAAAUCGGUAGGGGAGCGUUCCAUGCGGGGAGAAGUCGAACCGGAAGGUUUGGUGGACUGCAUGGAAGUGAGAAUGCCGGCAUAAGUAGCGCAAAGUAUGUGAGAAACAUACUCACCGGAAGCCCAAGGGUUCCUGGGGAAGGCUCAUCCACCCAGGGUUAGGCGGGACCUAAGGCGAGGCUGAAAGGCGUAGCUGAUGGACAACAGGUAGACAUUCCUGUCCCGACACUGUGACGCAUGGACCGAAGGGGUGACGCAGAAAGCUAGGCGGAGCCGGGGGAUGGAAGACCCGGUUCAAGGGGGUAGGCAGGGUUCGCAGGAAAAGCCGUGAGCCCAAAUGCUGAGACCUGAUGGGGAGCUCCGUAAGGGGCGAAGCCGCUGACGCUCUGCUGCCGAGAAAAGCCUCUAGGGAGGAACAGUGUUGCCCGUACCCGAGACCGACGCAGGUGGGCUGGCUGAGAAGGCUAAGGUGAGCGGGAUAACUCUCGUUAAGGAACUCUGCAAGUUGACCCCGUAACUUAGGGAGAAGGGGUGCCACUGCGGUGAAGUCAAUGCUGGCGGAGCCGCGAGUGGUCGCAGAAACCAGGCUCAGGCGACUGUUUACUAAAAACACAGGACUCUGCAUAAGGCGCAAGCCGAAGUAUAGGGUCUGACACCUGCCCGGUGCUGGAAGGUUAAAGGGAGAGGUUAGUCGCAAGGCGAAGCUUUGAACUGAAGCCCCAGUAAACGGCGGCCGUAACUAUAACGGUCCUAAGGUAGCGAAAUUCCUUGUCGGGUAAGUUCCGACCUGCACGAAUGGUGUAACGAUCUGAGCGCUGUCUCGACGGGAGACCCGGUGAAUUUGUGGUUCUGGUAAAGACACCAGAUACCUGUGGUGGGACGGAAAGACCCCAUGGAGCUUUACUGUAACCUGAUACUGGAUUUUGGCAUGUCAUGCACAGGAUAGGUGGGAGACAUUGAAGCCAUGACUUUGGUUGUGGUGGAGUCGACGUUGGGAUACCACCCUUGAGAUGCCGGAAUUCUAACCGCAGCGUCUGAAUCGACGAGCGGGACACUGUCAGGCGGGCAGUUUGACUGGGGCGGUCGCCUCCUAAAGAGUAACGGAGGCGCGCAAAGGUCACCUCUGGGCGGAUGGAAAUCGCCCGUGCGAGCGCAAGUGUAUAAGGUGGCCUGACUGUGAGACUGACAAGUCGAGCAGGGACGAAAGUCGGUACUAGUGAUCCGGCGGUUCCGAAUGGAAGGGCCGUCGCUCAACGGAUAAAAGCUACCCCGGGGAUAACAGGCU
Molecule: ribosomal RNA, 1403 nt
Filed under: bioreactor sludge metagenome
Description: bacterial LSU rRNA
Rfam family: Bacterial large subunit ribosomal RNA
Source: RNAcentral